GUCCACGCCGUAAACGAUGAGUACUAGGUGUUGCGGGUAUUGACCCCUGCAGUGCCGCAGCUAACGCAUUAAGUACUCCGCCUGGGAAGUACGGUCGCAAGACUAAAACUCAAAUGAAUUGACGGGGGCCCCGCACAAGCGGUGGAGCAUGUGGUUUAAUUCGACGCAACGCGCAGAACCUUACCUGGUCUUGACAUCUACGGAACCUUAGUGAAAGCUAGGGGUGCCUUUCGGGGAGCCGUAAGACAGGUGCUGCAUGGCUGUCGU
This 267-nucleotide ribosomal RNA is filed under the name uncultured bacterium. RNAcentral's name for it is "partial 16S ribosomal RNA". It matches the Rfam family "Bacterial small subunit ribosomal RNA", at positions 793 to 1055 of the family's 1533-position model. The record is from RNAcentral.